GCUGCCCGGGCACCCGCGGGAGGCGUAGGGACAGCAGGAGGAGAAAGCGAGUCUUCUAGUGCGGCCGCCGCGCCGCUGAAGGCCAGCGAUGACCACACACCGCCACCCCUCUGCUACACUUUCCCCUUCCACAAAAGCUAACGCAAAAUUAGUUCCUGCCCGUCUCUGGUCACCCCUUCGCCCACCGUGAAAGCGUUGGUGCACGCUCGCUCGAGGGGUUUCAGUCGAAUGACUGAAAUGUCAGUCUAAUGACGGCUCCCUGCCGCCGCAGCAGCAGCUCACACACCGGAGCCCAGCACGGACACCCGCUCGGGACUCACCUGCGCCUCAGCCAAAAACCAGAGGGAAAGAAAGGUACAAAGAUUAUGCCCCAUGUUUUGAGAAAAUAAAUGCAUUUGCAACCUUUGGCUAGAAUAAAAACACUAGCUAAAACAA
Long non-coding RNA from Cyanistes caeruleus (blue tit), 435 nucleotides. RefSeq lists it as uncharacterized. NCBI's taxonomy places the organism in Eukaryota, Metazoa, Chordata, Aves, Passeriformes, Paridae. The record is from RefSeq and is a predicted model, not a curated record.